CUCGAAUUGACUGAGUGUUUGGUAAGUUAGCAGCCAUCGUCAUCGUCAUCAUCAUCAUCAUCAUCACAGAACUGGAAGGUCUUGCAUCUGAAAACUCUCCAUGCCCCAUGCCAAGCCUCUUGUUUGUUCCCAGCUGUGCGGAGAUCUGUCUGUCCACAGGGCAGCACACACAUACACACACACACACCAUACACAUGCACAGAGGUCUGUCUGGCUGGCUCUCUCCCUGGCCCCCUCAACAAAGCUCUCUUGUCAAGCUGGCCAGGACGAGAAUAUUGAUGAGACAGAGGGCAACCAGGGUACAAACAGCCUGCUCAGCCGUCGUCCUCUGUGGGACAAGCUGUCACCUCUCCCUGGCCCCCUCUGACCUUCCAUGGCGCUCCCAGGCUCCCUCCCCAGUGGAGCAUCCAUGGAUGGACAAACUGAGGCCCAGCUCCAUCUAAAACAAGCCUGAAAUCCUAGGAGGAGGAUGGUGGAGUCCCGCCAGGGAGCUUUGUCAAGUGCCUCUGUCAUCUCCACUUCCUGGAUCAGUUACAUCAUACCCUCCAGGGAAGUGUCCCGGGGGAUGGCCAGAUCAGCCUGUCCUUUGUGGCAGGAGGUGGGGAUUCUGACGGUUGUUUUCACAGCUCGGGAGGACAGGCAGCUCUCACCUCUGUUUGCCCUCCCUGGCCAGUGCAGCCAGCUCCUGAGUCUCGUGGUUAACUAAGGUCUCAGACCUCAGGCUGAAACUGCUACCCUGCUGUGUGACCUUGGGGUGGUGGUCACCUAAGUUCCCUUAGCCUCAGUUUCCUGCCUGGAGAGAUGGGAACGAUGAUAGCUACUAGGUAUUGUGAGUCUUAUAGAUAAUGGCAGCCUAGGGCCAGGCACCGAGUAAGGACUCAAAGAAUAGCAGCUGCUAUUUUAAAAUUUAAUUUAAUUAAUUUAUUU
This 927-nucleotide long non-coding RNA is filed under the name Homo sapiens (human). RNAcentral describes it as "HSALNT0195120". The record is from RNAcentral. Lineage: Eukaryota; Metazoa; Chordata; Mammalia; Primates; Hominidae.